This 507-nucleotide ribosomal RNA is filed under the name uncultured bacterium. RNAcentral describes it as "bacterial SSU rRNA". It matches the Rfam family "Bacterial small subunit ribosomal RNA", at positions 17 to 518 of the family's 1533-position model. The record is from RNAcentral.
UCAUGGCUCAGGAUGAACGCUAGCGACAGGCUUAACACAUGCAAGUCGAGGGGCAGCAUAAAGUAGCAAUACUUGGUGGCGACCGGCGCACGGGUGAGUAACGCGUAUGCAACCUACCUAUCAGAGGGGAAUAACCCGGCGAAAGUCGGACUAAUACCGCAUAAAACAGGGACACCGCAUGGUGAUAUUUGUUAAAGAAAUUCGCUGAUAGAUGGGCAUGCGUUCCAUUAGGUAGUUGGUGAGGUAACGGCUCACCAAGCCGACGAUGGAUAGGGGAACUGAGAGGUUGGUCCCCCACACUGGUACUGAGACACGGACCAGACUCCUACGGGAGGCAGCAGUGAGGAAUAUUGGUCAAUGGGCGAGAGCCUGAACCAGCCAAGUCGCGUGAAGGAAGAGGGAUCUAUGGUUCGUAAACUUCUUUUGCAGGGGAAUAAAGUGCAGGACGUGUCCUGUUUUGUAUGUACCCUGAGAAUAAGGAUCGGCUAACUCCGUGCCAGCAGCAGC